RNAcentral lists this ribosomal RNA (452 nucleotides) under uncultured bacterium. RNAcentral describes it as "bacterial SSU rRNA". It matches the Rfam family "Bacterial small subunit ribosomal RNA", at positions 29 to 524 of the family's 1533-position model. The record is from RNAcentral.
AGCGAACGCUGGCGGCAGGCUUAACACAUGCAAGUCGAACGGGCGUAGCAAUACGUCAGUGGCAGACGGGUGAGUAACGCGUGGGAACGUACCUUUUGGUUCGGAACAACCCAGGGAAACUUGGGCUAAUACCGGAUAAGCCCUUACGGGGAAAGAUUUAUCGCCGAAAGAUCGGCCCGCGUCUGAUUAGCUAGUUGGUGUGGUAACGGCGCACCAAGGCGACGAUCAGUAGCUGGUCUGAGAGGAUGAUCAGCCACAUUGGGACUGAGACACGGCCCAAACUCCUACGGGAGGCAGCAGUGGGGAAUAUUGGACAAUGGGCGCAAGCCUGAUCCAGCCAUGCCGCGUGAGUGAUGAAGGCCCUAGGGUUGUAAAGCUCUUUUGUGCGGGAAGAUAAUGACGGUACCGCAAGAAUAAGCCCCGGCUAACUUCGUGCCAGCCGCCGCAGUAAU